GAGGGUGUAGCUCAGUGGUAGAGUGUGUGCUUAGCAUGCACAAGGUCCUGGGUUCAGUCCCUAGUACCUACA
Molecule: transfer RNA, 72 nt
Filed under: Camelus bactrianus (Bactrian camel)
Lineage: Eukaryota; Metazoa; Chordata; Mammalia; Artiodactyla; Camelidae
Also listed under: 2 other names
Rfam family: tRNA
About the family: Transfer RNA (tRNA) molecules are approximately 80 nucleotides in length. Their secondary structure includes four short double-helical elements and three loops (D, anti-codon, and T loops). Further hydrogen bonds mediate the characteristic L-shaped molecular structure. tRNAs have two regions of fundamental functional importance: the anti-codon, which is responsible for specific mRNA codon recognition, and the 3' end, to which the tRNAs corresponding amino acid is attached (by aminoacyl-tRNA synthetases). tRNAs cope with the degeneracy of the genetic code in two manners: having more than one tRNA (with a specific anti-codon) for a particular amino acid; and 'wobble' base-pairing, i.e. permitting non-standard base-pairing at the 3rd anti-codon position.
Source: Rfam by way of RNAcentral